CCCAGACUCCUACGGGAGGCAGCAGUGGGGAAUAUUGGGCAAUGGGCGCAAGCCUGACCCAGCAACGCCGCGUGAAGGAAGAAGGCUUUCGGGUUGUAAACUUCUUUUGUCAGGGACGAAGCAAGUGACGGUACCUGACGAAUAAGCCACGGCUAACUACGUGCCAGCACCCGCGGUAAUACGUAGGUGGCAAGCGUUAUCCGGAUUUACUGGGUGUAAAGGGGGCGCAGGCGGCACGGCAAGCCUGAGGAGAAAGCCCGCGGCCCAACCGCGGGACUGCAUUGGGAACUACCGGGCUGGAGGGCCGGAGAGGUAGGCGGAAUUCCUAGUGUAGCGGUGAAAUGCGUAGAUAUUAGGAGGAACACCAGUGGCGAAGGCGGCCUACUGGACGGUGACUGACGCUGAGGCUCGAAAGCGUGGAGAGCAAACAGGAUUAGAUACCCCAGUA
Molecule: ribosomal RNA, 448 nt
Filed under: uncultured bacterium
Lineage: Bacteria
Description: partial 16S ribosomal RNA
Rfam family: Bacterial small subunit ribosomal RNA
Source: RNAcentral